UGGGGAAUAUUGCACAAUGGGCGCAAGCCUGAUGCAGCGACGCCGCGUGGGGGAUGACGGCCUUCGGGUUGUAAACUCCUUUCGCUAGGGACGAAGCUUUUUGUGACGGUACCUAGAUAAGAAGCACCGGCUAACUACGUGCCAGCAGCCGCGGUAAUACGUAGGGUGCGAUCGUUGUCCGGAAUUACUGGGCGUAAAGGGCUCGUAGGUAGUUUGUCGCGUCGUCUGUGAAAUUCCGGGGCUUAACUCCGGGCGUGCAGGCGAUACGGGCAUAACUUGAGUACUGUAGGGGUAACUGGAAUUCCUGGUGUAGCGGUGAAAUGCGCAUAUGUCAGGAGGAACACCGAUGGCGAAGGCAGGUUACUGGGCAGUUACUGACGCUGAGGAGCGAAAGCAGGGGUAGCGAACAGG
Molecule: ribosomal RNA, 411 nt
Filed under: Actinomycetes bacterium
Lineage: Bacteria; Bacillati; Actinomycetota; Actinomycetes
Description: Actinobacteria bacterium partial 16S ribosomal RNA
Rfam family: Bacterial small subunit ribosomal RNA
Source: RNAcentral